CCUCGGCCUCCCAAAGUGCUGGGAUUACAGGCGUGAGCCACCGCGCCCGGCCGGUACUCCGAAGCCCUCAGAUCGGCGACCUGGGCGCUGUAGGCACCGAGAAAAUACAGGCACCGAGCCAGAAGCAGUGCCGCAACCAAGAGACCUCGGCUUGGCGAAAUGGCGGCGUCUGGAGCCUGCGAGUGACGCCAGCUGGUGGGGCUGUCAAGGAGAACAUUCGUUACGGCGCAACCAACGGUACUGUCACCAAGAAACCGUCGUCUCUGAGAAAAAAAGAGACGUUCGGCCGCCGAGAAACUCCGUACAAGUGCUGUGACAGAAAAACCGCCGGCUCCGCGCAGCGGCAAAAGAGCCAACGGGAACGCCGGGUGCUGCGACCAUGACCCCGGCACUGGAGGACGUGGGAUGGAGAAUGGGACACACGGAGCGAGAAGGGAAACGUUUCGUGCAGACCAACUAGCGCCGCCGCCACCGGAAAACUGACUCGCCAGUGCUGCCAAUGAAGUGCGUGUGAGAAACCGAUGACUGGUGGGAGGAGCAGCGCUGGGCGCUGGACCCGCGAGUGUGAGAAUCUGGCGGCGCUAGGACCCUUCAGGCGCGGGCACGAGGCGAAACCCAGCGCUGUUGCCAAAGACAAAUGCGCGUUCUUUUGGGCGCCAUCAGCGGUGCAGCCAGUGAUCACUCCCAGGCUCUGAGAAACUAGAGAUGUCAGCCACAAACCCUCCGUUCAGGGAAAGUUUGCGGCGCCGUGACGGAUCGACUGGCACUGGGUGCAACAUUGUCUUGUGGCCUAGAGACUAGAAUAUAAAAACAAAAACCAAAUACAAAACUGCUGCUGGCAUUACUCCUACUCUCCCCCCUCAAGUCAGUGGCUUCAGGCUUAAGAAAACCUGUAUUUUUCUUGGCUGUGCCAUAAUCCGUAAUUACCGAGGCCCCCAGCGACCCACCCAGUGUGAUUCGCAGAGGGAAAGGAGCUGGAAUAAGGACCGUGAAUGGGGCGGAUGUGGCUCGUCCUGGGAGAGAGCUAAAGCUUAUGCUGGUCGCAAACAGCAUUACAUUGCAGGAAACUGCUCUUCCAAUGGCCGUGGCUGGGUCCUUCCACACCAUCCCUCUGCCCUAGACCUUUGUCCCCGUUCAGAGCCAUCAGAGAUUCUAGGAGAGCUGUCGACAACCGCAUCUCUUCGGAACUUGGAAACUCUAGGUUCAAGAUCUCCGUGGAGAAUGAAAGGCACAGUCGCCUGACCCGGGCAUCAGGCUUGCCCCGCACAUCAAGUCCCUCCCCUACUGGAUGGAACUCUGUGGCAAUCGCUCCUUAUUCUGAUGGUUCACUCUGUCAGAUAUCCUCGAUAUUUGGGGAUAGUAGUUCAAAAACAGCCGGGGAGGAAAAUGGGCUGAAAGAUUCCAGCGUUGGAUGUAGAAUUGACAGCGAGACAUACACCUCCUCUCUAAGCCCAGAGAAAAGCUCAAGUUGUGGUUCUCUGUCUCUAGCAGCAUGAUCUUCAAAAUGCAUCAUUGAUUUCUAUCUUCUGGGAAAUGCAAUGCAGGUGAACUUGAGGAAAUCAGUGGUGCUUCAGGAUAUUGUGAAUUUGGUCUUCUGAAAGCAGAAUUCUGAUUUAACAGUAUAAUGGAAUUCGUGAACGUCAUGAUGCUAAUUUGAACCAACAAGCACCCUUGUGAGAGGAAUCUGCUUUUCCUCAAGUCUGAAGAACACCAGGAGAAUCUUUCUGUAUGGAGUUACCAGGAAUCCUCUGCUAAGGAAAGUGAAAGGGAAGAUGCAAUUUCUCCUGGGAAGGGGGGAUGCUGAUGUAGAGGGUGACAAGUAAUAUGCCAUGAAGGAUUCAGUCACCUGGUUAGAUUUAGAGUUAGAGUUAUGGUUAAGGAAGAAGGAAGGAAAAAAGGCAGAAGAGGAAGAAAGGAAGCAAGAAAAGAUAAAAUUUAUUCUAAGAUAAAAUUUGUGAAUUUUGCUAAACUAUAUAUAUUUAUUUAUUUAUUUAUUUUAUUUAUUUAUUUAUUUUUGCUGUCAUUAGCCAAGAUAAGGAAUCUUCAAGUUGAGUAAGACUGGAUUUAGAAUUGUCUGGGGGCUUUCAAAAGAGCCAUUCAGUAAAUAAGAAAGAAUACAGGCCUGCAGCACCAGAGUCUGAGCUGGGGGCAUAGGUUUGUGUGAAUUUGGGCAUGGUGGCUCAGGUCUGUAAUCCCAGCACUUUGGGAGGCUGAAGUUGAGGACUGCUUGAGCUCAGGAGUCUGAGACCACCCUGGGCAACAUGGGGAGACCCCAUCUCUACAAAAAAAUAAAAAAUAUUAACCCAAGGUGGUGGCAUGCACCUUGCUGCCAGCUACUGUGGAGGCUGAGGUGAGAGGAUUGUUUAAGUCCAGGAUGUUGAGACUGCAGUGAGCCCUGUUUGUGGCACUGCACUCCUGCCUGGUCCACAGAGGGAGACUCUGUCUGAAGGUGGGGAAAGAAAAGAUUUGUAUGAAUUUGGUGCUGCUUUGUAUUUCAAAAUAGGAAAGUGGAUAUACGAAUAUAUGGCAUAAAAGGUCCAGAUACUGGACCCCAGUGAACUCAAUUGUUUUCAAGGUCUGACUUUAACCUUGCUAGGCUGAAGAAUCUGGAAUGGCUCAGAUGUUUCUAGUUCAGCUGUAACUUUUGCCUCCUUUAGAGUAAAGCUGUGGGGGACUUGAGUAUACUCAGAGUGGAUCUGAGAGGUAUCUGCUUCCAGAAUGAAUUAGAAUUCCUGGAUUUGAAUCAUAAUCAGAUGGCUGUUAAGGGGUUAUUGAAGACAUAUGGCUCUUAAGUUCACAAUAUUGAAUUCAGGUGAAUAUUAUAAAUAUUUGUAAGUUGGAUUAUAUUAUUGAAGCACUUGGUAAAAAUUGCCAUGCAGGGAUAAAUGUAGGAAGGGGAUUGCAGAGUCUGAUAUCUAAAAAAUAAGUGGAGCAGCAUUUGGAAACCCCGUUCACAUUUUCAAUCUCUUUUCUCUCAUUAGAACCUAACUGCUAUCCUCUAAUCCCUACUUUUGAAAAAAUGUAUUUAAGGCUGGGCGUGGUGGCUCACGCCUGUAAUCCCAGCACUUUGGAAGGCCGAAGUGGGUGGAUCACGAGGUCAGGAGAUCGAGACCAUCCUGGCUAACAUGGUGAAACCCCAUCUCUACUAAAAAUACAAAAAAUUAGCCGGGCGUUGUGGUGGGCACCUGUAGUCCUAGCUACUCGGGAGGCUGAGGCAGGAGAAUGGCGUGAACCCAGGAGGCAGAGCUUGUAGUGAGCUGAGAUCGCGCCACUGCACUCCAGCCUGGGCGACAGAGCGAGACUCCGUCUCAGAAAAAAAAAAAAAGAAAAAAUGUAUUUAAAAACUCAGCAAACAUUAAUGGAGAUAUUCCAAGAGCCAGGCUCCUGGUUCCAAGACCCCACUCAGAGGACUAAGCUCAAAUCUAAUAAGAUGUGUAGGCUUGGGGCCAGUGGGGCGAGGGGAUAUCCACAGGAGGGCCAAUCGAACAAGGCCUCAGACUCAUGAGCCUCAAAUGUAGAUGUUAGAUUUUUCCUCCAAUUGAGAUUAUACAUACAGCCACAGAGCUUCAUGGAUGCAAAUGAAAAUGGUCAUGUCUCAACUUUUAAACUGUGCUCAAUUAGAGGAACUCAUUGCCUAUGGCAU
Homo sapiens (human) is the source of this 3643-nucleotide long non-coding RNA. Ensembl annotates it as ANXA2R overlapping transcript 1. Its record names the gene ANXA2R-OT1. The record is from Ensembl. NCBI's taxonomy places the organism in Eukaryota, Metazoa, Chordata, Mammalia, Primates, Hominidae.